CUCCCCAAUUCACGCGCCGGCUUCUUCUCCUUCCCUGCCAACGCUCUCAAUGCCAAAUUCUAUUACUCAUCAGUUAUCAUGCAUCUCCUCCUCUACCAUCCCCAUCUCCAUGACGCCAUUCGCCUCCCAAUCCAGAUCCAUCUCUUCUACAAACCGAUCCAUGCGUUCGCCCAUGGGAUUCUCCAUGGAUCCCACCUCUCUUACCCGGCCUUCUGUAAUCCCAUGACAUAGCAUCUUCCAUUCGUCCGGCGUGGUCGAGGCAUCCUCACGGGGCAUGGGCCUGAGUUGUGGCGUGAUGGCAAUGAGGUAUCCCAAAUCAGCAGCACCUGGGAGGCGACAUGCAGCCGACGGGUAUGGGGUGGGCGGCGCGGGGUUGGUGGCGUUGGUGGCGUUGGUGACGCACAGUGGCGCGAGCGCUUGGCGAUGAUUGAAACCAAUCCAAGCCAGGAUGAAUUGCAUGUACGAAUUUGAUUGCCAUGGAUCUUUCACUUGGACUUGAGCGCCACCACAAGUACUUAAGUAUUUUGAUCUGCCUUGGUCGUCCACGCUCAUGUCUGCUGCCUGCUGGUACUACCGUGCUUGAGGGGAUGAAUCUGGAGGCCUCUCCAUAGCGGACUUCCUAUUUCAAUCCCGCUGCUGUAUCAGGUUUAAACAAUAGGGGAUCCGACACAUGGCUCACAUGGGUGUCAUACUUUGCAUUUGUUUGAGGGCAUGUUCAUCUUGAUUUCUUUUGGAUUCAACAAGAAAUGAAAGAAAAAAAUACAUUGGCAUUCAACCGUCUAGGGUCGUCAAUUUAUAUGAAGUAAGAUUGUUUAUUCUAAGUGCUCACCAUAUUUUUUUACAUUAUUGAUUCUCAAGUCACCGGGCCAGGUAAUCCCAUGUUAUUAUGAUAUUUUUUCAUUAACAUUAAUGUUUCAGUUGCUGUGAAUACAAUUAUUCACUUUGGAGUUAUCUGGAGAAGUAUGCAAACAACAUGUUCUGUUCUCAUGAUCGCACAAUUUGUAUCCAAAAACUAUUGCAUCAAGUCCAAUUUCUAUAUCUCACAAAAGGUAGUACAGUAGCAUAUACAUGUAAUAAAAAUUACGCUUGAGCAACUAAUAACUUAUGAGUGAUCCAUGUUGCCCUCUUCUAAUAUGCAAAAGUACACAUGUUUCUCUCAUCACCAUUUUUGCAAUUGAAUAAGAAUGUGUCAGCUACUUUGUCAGAGAUUGUCGUCCAAACAUGCUAUUUUGCUUCAAACUAUGGUUUACUCAAGAUGACAUAUUUAUGGUUUCCUCAUGGUGUUUGCGUGCGACUUUGCUUUGUAACUAAGUUUAUACAUUUUUAGUUAUUUUAUAUUUGUUGUUGUUCUGGGGAGUUGACAAGUGGAAGACCUUCUCGACUAUAUAGCCAUUCAUAGUAAAUAGAAGGGACCCUAAAUAGAAUGGUGAAUUUGAAAUAGAAUUGGGAAUUUGUUUGUAUGCUCAAUAGAAAAGUUAAUUGUAUGUACAAGUUUAGAAGCAAAAGCUUUCGCGAUGUACCCAUUGUUUUAUGUUUUCUUCUCCUUAC
This is a long non-coding RNA of Triticum aestivum (bread wheat), 1548 nucleotides long. RefSeq lists it as uncharacterized. The transcript has 4 exons. The record is from RefSeq and is a predicted model, not a curated record. Lineage: Eukaryota; Viridiplantae; Streptophyta; Magnoliopsida; Poales; Poaceae.